CUCAAUAAUCCAUCCGUGAUGAAGGGCCUAC
RNAcentral lists this non-coding RNA (31 nucleotides) under Mus musculus (house mouse). The record is from RNAcentral. Lineage: Eukaryota; Metazoa; Chordata; Mammalia; Rodentia; Muridae.